RNAcentral lists this long non-coding RNA (1264 nucleotides) under Homo sapiens (human). Its description in RNAcentral is "HSALNT0299993". Lineage: Eukaryota; Metazoa; Chordata; Mammalia; Primates; Hominidae. The record is from RNAcentral.
AAUUUAAAACUGCCUCAGCCACGUGAUUUGGGAGGCUUAUUCGUGUGUGCAUGGAGGAAGGCCUUUCUUAAAUAUUUCAUGAGGAUUCGUGCCUCUGGCCUGAUCGGCUAGACCUCUCUGACUGCAGAAUAAGUGAAAAUGUUGUAACAACGGAACAUGCUUUGACCCAGUAGAUUAUAACUGCUCUGAAAAAGCCAUCGCACUCUCUUAGAGGUUGAACCAUGGAAGUUGGACCAUCCCUUAGGGUCAAAGGAGUCUCUUCACUGAACUCCUGCCUUAUUUGGUUACAUCCUCAACCGAUCCUAGCAAGAAUCCCUCGGGUAUGAGUGUCAGCUUUGAAAACGAAUGAACCUGCUCCUGAAGCAAUGCGGCCUCAUUGAGGAGAAGUCAACACCCUCACCGAGAUGCAGACUCUUACAGAAUUGGAUUUGCUCAGAACACCGUCCAGCAACUACAGAGGAGACCCAGCUAAUGUAAGGGAAUUUGCUCAGACUUUGUGAGCCACACCUUCUCACGAGACCCUGAUGGGAGCCUGAGUCAUCUGCAAAGUGACCUCCCGCCCUCCAGGUCUGUGCCCUCCUGACUGCAGAGCAGCCCCUUGGCUCAGCAUCCCUCUCACUCCACGACACCACAGGAGUGGAGGAACAGAUAUUAGGUACAAGUGAUGGCUGGAAUGCAUGCACCUCCUUUUGGCUCCCUCUUCAAGCCCCAUGAACACUGCAUGGAAACGGACUUGUUAAUGUCCAAGGCCCAUCAACAGUGUUGACCCCAGGAGGGACCCAGGCUGUGACAGUCCUCAGUAGCUGCAAGCACACAGAUGCGGGAAGACGCCCGGCCUGGAACGUGGAGUCCCGAGUCAGCAGUGAGGACCCCAUAAGAGCAUCUCCUUACCCCGUGGGAUCCCUGCAGCCCUGCGAGCUGGCAGCACCAGGCACUCUCGAAUUGGAAGUGAAUGUGGUGCAGAAAGAAAGCAGACUGGGCAACAGUGUGUUUAGGACACAGCGAGAUCUUCAGGUGUCUCCAGUCUCUGGGUGUCUGGACCACUGGUCCUCCCCACAGGCAGAAGCCUGCGCUCCACUCUCAGGUGGGCUCCAAGGUGCUGCCUCCCAGCCUGGCGCCUGCCCAGACUACAGGGGACCUUCCCUGGUUGCCCACAGCCCGGCCUCUCUGCCCCACUGGUUCCUGGCAGGAGCAGGCAGAGUCUUCUCGAGGAGCUGACAGUCUCAAAGAAAAACAUGCAGAUUAUACAGAUAUUGAUACUGGA